This 495-nucleotide ribosomal RNA is filed under the name uncultured bacterium. Its description in RNAcentral is "partial 16S ribosomal RNA". It matches the Rfam family "Bacterial small subunit ribosomal RNA", at positions 27 to 507 of the family's 1533-position model. The record is from RNAcentral.
GGACGAACGCUGGCGGCGUGCUUAACACAUGCAAGUCGAACGGUGAAGCGCCUUCCUUUUUGGUGGGUGUGGAUGAGUGGCGAACGGGUGAGUAACACGUGAGUAACCUGCCCCCUUCUUCUGGAUAACCGCAUGAAAGUGUGGCUAAUACGGGAUAUUCUGGGUCUGUCGCAUGAUGGGUCUGGGAAAGAUAUUGUUUCGGUGGGGGAUGGGCUCGCGGCCUAUCAGCUUGUUGGUGGGGUGAUGGCCUACCAAGGCGGUGACGGGUAGCCGGCCUGAGAGGGUGGACGGUCACGCUGGGGAUGAGACACGGCCCAGACUCCUACGGGAGGCAGCAGUGGGGAAUAUUGCACAAUGGGCGCAAGCCUGAUGCAGCGACGCCGCGUGAGGGAUGGAGGCCUUCGGGUUGUGAACCUCUUUCGCCAGUGAAGCAGGCCUGCCUCGUUUGUGGGUGGGUUGACGGUAGCUGGAUAAGAAGCGCCGGCUAACUACGUG